RNA transcript from Carassius carassius (crucian carp), 1355 nucleotides. RefSeq lists it as uncharacterized. The record is from RefSeq and is a predicted model, not a curated record. The transcript has 6 exons. Lineage: Eukaryota; Metazoa; Chordata; Actinopteri; Cypriniformes; Cyprinidae.
AGUCAGACACAUCACAGCGAAUGGAGACAGCAUGCCCAUCUACAUGUACCAGAGGACCAACUGGGACCUUCACCACACGGCCCUCACAGACCAACACUGAGAGAAGAAGAGAAGAUAUCUCAGUUUCAGGCUCAUACAAAUGCACAAAAGCCACUUUGGACCGACUGUUUACCUGGAACAGCUGAGAGAAAUAAGAAAGUGAAUGAAAAAUGAUAACACUCUGGGAAGUAUUUAAUCUUUUCGUCUGUGUAAUAUUAUCACGAUUCAAUGCGGUAACUUCUGUCACCUUUGUUGAGAAUGGGAAUAAUUUGACUUUAAAUCCGAAUAUAAGUGAUAAGCCUGAAGACAUUUUGUGGACAUUCAAUGAAGACAAGGUGGCCGACCAUGAUUUGAAUGAAUUUGAAGCAUACGGACGAUUCAAAGGAAGAUCGUCGAUUGAAAUCACAACUGGGCAGCUCACUGUUCGUAACAUGACAAGCCAGGACAGUGGUAUUUAUAAGUCUGAAAUACAGAUCAAUGGAAAGCAGCAAAAGUCUGAAAAUGAAGUUCAAGUUAUUGAUGCUUUGCAGGAGCCAGUUGUGACCUGUAAACUGAACAUGACUACAGAAUCAAAAACACUGUUCUGUUCAGCUUCAUCUAAUUCCACAAUAUCCUUUGAAAGGACUGGAUCAAAUUCUACACAACACUCGGAGCAAGAGCUUCAUAUCAGCAAGGAGGAGAAGCCUGAUUCAGUCUUUACUUGCACUGUGAAAAAUGAAGUUAGCCAAAAGAACACUAGCUUCACUCUGAAAGACUGCAACACAGAUGAAUUAGAUGAACCGCAAACAGAUAUGAAUACCAUGCUACCAGAUAUAUUUGUCAUCAUCGGUGCUAUUAUCUUGGGGAUUGCAGCUGUUUUCAUUUAUUUAAUUCACAAAAAAAUAAACAAAGGUAAGACAUAGGUGCUCAUUACCUCAAAAUAUAAAUAUAUGACUUUCAGCUACCCGUUUGUGCAACAAUAUUGACUUAAUUUUCUCCUAUUAGAUUCAAGGAGAUCAGGAAUUAAAAGUGAGUCUUUAUUUUGUGCUCUUUGAUUUGCAUCUUAAUUGAUGUGCUACAAAUAUAAUUCAUUAUAAAUGAUCUUCUCUCUGUGUUUAGCUAAAGAUGACGUACAAGAAAGUUUGAUAGAUGGAAAACUGUGUGAGUUAUCAGAGAUAGAAGCCCAAAGUAAGUUUAAAACUAACAAUUCUGAACAAAGAAUCAAAGACUGCGAAGACGGUGAAAACAAAGAGCAAGAAAUUACUGAUGCUGAUAAUAUGAGUAAAGAAAUGGAAUUAGAUGAAACUUCCAAAGCUCUCAGUGACAAACCUGAUCCA